RNAcentral lists this ribosomal RNA (748 nucleotides) under Triticum aestivum (bread wheat). RNAcentral describes it as "partial small subunit ribosomal RNA". The record is from RNAcentral. Lineage: Eukaryota; Viridiplantae; Streptophyta; Magnoliopsida; Poales; Poaceae.
AGGAGAGCGGCGAAACCCAGCCCCAAAAUCGCUCGAGCCUCUCCGGCCGGCCUCCGCUGCUGCUGCGGCUGGCGGCAGCCCCUUCUUCUUCCUCUGCGGGGGGUUGGCGAGCAUAUACAGAAGAACGGGGAAGCGGCUAGACCACCAUCAGCGCGAAGAGGAGCGGCAGCAGCGGCAGCAGGAGGAGGCGCGGGAGCGGACGCGGGGGGCUAGAUACGUGGUCCCCGAGGUGCCGACCUUGUUCAGGAGCAGCUACGAGUCCCUGCCCAAGCCCAGACGACGCAGUUGUUGUGGCUGCAGCAGAAGAUGAUGUGGCUGCCGUAGAAGCAGCAGGAGGUGGAGACGACGAGGCAAGCGCGUGGGCAGCGGCAGGAGACAGGAACUUCGGUGCUUCGGUCGUCUACUCAGGGACAGCGGACUCGGCUGAGGUCAAGGCCAGUACCACAGGUGGUGCCGACUCUGGCGCGUCGACGGACUGCUGGGUCUCAAGAUGGUCCUGGAGGACGCGCCAGAAGUCGACGGCCUGUAGCUGGGCUACCUGAAGGCGCGGCCCGAACUACGGGACCUGCAGAGGCUCCGCAGCCGAAUGAACCUGCCGCUUGUCCUGGACGACGAGCCACUGAAGCGGCUGCUCCUCGAGCUGGACCUGUACCUGGAGCUGUAGCCGCUGCUGAAGGACCUCUACGGGCCGACGCUGAAGCCGGCUCCGUACCUACUAAAGGACGUAUGGCAGCUAAAGACGCACACU